Molecule: ribosomal RNA, 565 nt
Filed under: uncultured organism
Description: bacterial SSU rRNA
Rfam family: Bacterial small subunit ribosomal RNA
Source: RNAcentral
UGUGUGUCGUAGUUAACGCGUUAAACAGGGCGCCUGGGAAGUACGGCCGCAAGGCUAAAACCCAAAGGAAUUGACGGGGACCCGCACAAGCAGUGGAGCGCCUGGUUUAAUUCGAUGGUCAGCGAAGAACCUCACCUAGGCUUGAACUGUAGCUGCACACUCCCAGAAACGGGAGAAUCCUUCGAGGGUGCUACAGAGGUGCUGCAUGGCUGUCGUCAGCUCGUGUCGUGAGAUGUAGGGUUAAGUCCCACAACGAGCGCAACCCCUAUUCAGUGUUAUAAUUACUCUGAAGACUGCCCUGUCCAAACGGGGAGGAAGGAGGGGACGACGUCCAGUCAUCAUGUCCCUUAUGUCUAGGGCUACACAGACGCUACAAUGGCCGGUACAAUGGGUUGCCAAACCGCGAGGUGGAGCCAAUCCCAUCAAAGCCGGUCCCAGUUCGGAUUGCAGUCUGCAACUCGACUGCAUGAAGUUGGAAUUGCUAGUAAUCGCGAAUCAGCACGUCGCGGUGAUACGUUCUCGGGUCUGUACACACCGCCCGUCAGGGCACGGGAGUCGCUCUUGC